Papaver somniferum (opium poppy) is the source of this 1777-nucleotide long non-coding RNA. RefSeq lists it as uncharacterized. Lineage: Eukaryota; Viridiplantae; Streptophyta; Magnoliopsida; Ranunculales; Papaveraceae. The record is from RefSeq and is a predicted model, not a curated record. The transcript is spliced from 10 exons.
CUCUCUCCCAUUUCCAAUCUCAUUUUCUCUUUCUUCUUCAGCUGUCGGUCUCCAUUUCACCUAAGGAACUAGCUCCAUGGAAGUGGAGAAAUCAGUAUCCCAAGAUGCUAUUUCAACCGAACUAGUAAACCUUCUAUACAUUCGUUUUCUGAAAUCCCUCAAGUCGCUAGUCGAGUUGUAGAUCUCAAAUCUGCUGGGAACAGAUUCAGCUUCAUUAUUUCUCUAUUCUUCUCAAAAUCGAAAUUGAAAAAAAUAGUAUGGUAUCAAAUUAGAUGUGAGAUGUGAUUUGAAUCUAAGAGGUUUCAUGAUUAGUGUGAUAUGUGAUUUGAAGCAAGGGUUUUUGUUCGUGUUUUUUUUCUUCAGUAAAUGGAUAAUGAGCUCCCGGAUCCAUAGAUCAGCAUCAAGAACUCUUAGACCACUUACCUCUUAUCUAAAAGCUCAUCUCUUUUCAGCGAGGUAGAGAAGGCAAUAGAGGAGUCAAGUUGGUGGUGGAUAUGAUGUUAUUGUCGAUGUUAUUCCCAAGGAGGGAUUAUGUGGUAGAGGAAGAUUAUAAAUAAGAACAAGAGUAUCUCCGAUGAAAUCAGGGUGGAGGUACCAAGUGUCAUAUGCCCUGUAUUCUUUUUGAACUCUAGAUCAGUUCAUCAUCGAGAAGUUAGUCAUUACGAGGAUGCAAAACCUUGGAACGAAAGGUGCGAUCUUGCAUUCUACUGCACAACACGGAAUGAAAUCGAGAAAUCUGAUAUUGUUAGUUUGGUCACAGGCUCAACUAUGGCUUGUACUUCUCAAGCAGUUGAUGUACUGAGAAAAGCUAAUUUCUCCAACAAAGGCUGCUGGAACUGGAGAGGUAUGUCAUUGAUGAGAGGUGGGGAUUGAGUAACAUAAAUAUUGGAUCAGCACCGCUCUGACUCAGGAUUUAAACUUGGGUCUGUUGGACAUACAUCAGAAGCAAUAGUGAAGAAGUAUGGUGCCGUAAGGUUAACUUUUGAAGUUGAAGGCCUAACUAUUCUGAGAACAACCCAGCAAAAAAAAAAGACAUUUGAUGGUCCAUCACGCAAGGACUGGAGAGGUGGAAGGGCUGCUUCAUUCAGUAUCAUUCCUAGCAGCACUGCUCAGUUGAGGGAAAAGUUGGUGUGCAUCAUUUGGAUGAGGUUCUGCGAGAGGAAACUUCAUCGUCAAAUGCCACAGAGGGGCAUGAGAUACACUCGGUGAAUUCGUUAAAUUUUUAUCCGGUAACAUCCAAUUUUGUGAAUUGCCACUCAAUGCUUGUGUCAAGAUAGUUGGAUUGCAGUUGAUGCGGACAUUAGAUAAACAUCUAAACAUCCUCGGUCAUCAGUAUGUUGGGAUGCUUGUGAAAGGUACUCUAUUAUUGCCUAUUGGGUGAUUCUGUUGUUUGUAUGGGUGCUGGUGGUGGUUUGUGGGGAUGGAAUUGGGAAACACUCCACAUUUUAUUGAGUAUUGUGACCUCCCCGCAUUAAUCAGCUGAUGGCGGAACUUAUUUUUGCAGUAAAGGUAACUUUUUGAAGUAUGGGCUAGCUAAGUUCAUCAUCAUCGGAGUUCACCGUUUGCUGUUUAAUCAAUCGUAUAUUAGUUUAUCAUCUUGUAACGAAAUCUUAGAACUUAAUUAUUUGUCUUGUUGAAUGAACUUUUAUUGCUCUGAACUCAAUAUUUUAUUCAUUUUUUGUGUGAUUUGAACUAAGUGAAUCGAUGAAUGUUAAAUUGGAAGAUUAUCUUUGUGCAAAUUUAAUUUGAUUCUUAUUUGAGUUUGAUUUGGGUCUCA